AACGUAGGAGACAAACGUUAUCCGGAGUUACUGGGCGUAAAGGGCGUGUAGGCGGUUUAUUAAGUUCGUCGUGAAAUAGCUCGGCUUAACCGGGCGGGGUCGAUGGAUACUGGUAGACUUGAGGACGGUAGAGGCGUGUGGAAUUCCGGGUGUAGUGGUGAAAUGCGUAGAUAUCCGGAGGAACACCAGUGGCGAAGGCGACACGCUGGGCCGUACCUGACGCUAAAGCGCGACAGCAUGGGGAGCGAACGGG
RNAcentral lists this ribosomal RNA (253 nucleotides) under uncultured bacterium. Its description in RNAcentral is "partial 16S ribosomal RNA". It matches the Rfam family "Bacterial small subunit ribosomal RNA", at positions 524 to 776 of the family's 1533-position model. The record is from RNAcentral.